RNAcentral lists this long non-coding RNA (727 nucleotides) under Marmota monax (woodchuck). The record is from RNAcentral. Lineage: Eukaryota; Metazoa; Chordata; Mammalia; Rodentia; Sciuridae.
CUCCGCAGCUCUGAGCUGGCCUCGCUCCCACCCCCUCUACCCAGUCCUCUGAUCUGCUAUGGACUCAGGUUGGGUGCCCAGCUCAGGCCCUGGAGGCUGAGAACAGACCGCAGCCCCUCAGCCCAGGCAGAGGAGCCCCCAGCACAGGGCAUGGGGGUGGGCCGCCUUCCCAGGUAUGUGCCUCCAUGCAAGGUUGGGCCUGAGAGCCAACACCCCCACCCUUCCCCUGCGCCCCAUCCCUCCCCACCAUCUCAAGGGUGCUCUAGCCCGGGAGACCUCCCCACCCUACAGUCCACCCUUGGUUCCUGCCUUCUCACCACUCCGUCCUGUCAGGCAGCCCCUCCUUGCCCAUCUCUUUCUGUUUCUUAAGACAUGAUCUCCAUACUCUUUUCCCCAAUUGCUGUUGUCUGCCUGCCUCUUUCUGUCCCUGCUCCCUUUGGGUCUCUGACCCUCUCUCUGUCCCUCUCCGACUCAGCCCCCUCUUUGAGUUUCUGCACCUUCUCUGGGUCGGUCUGUCUCAGAGCUCCUUCUCAACGCUCCUUCCUGCCCGGCUCUGAGUCUGCUGCUCUGUCUGCCUCAGCCCCACACUCGUUGCUAUCAGUCUCUGGGUCAACUUGCUGUCCAGACCCCAUUCAUUGGGGGAAAUGGGGGGAGACUCCUUGGUUUCAGGGGAAGGCUGAAGGUGUGUGUACAUUUGUGGGGGACAAGCUAGUACCCAAGGGCGGGG